This 4771-nucleotide long non-coding RNA is filed under the name Sus scrofa (pig). Its description in RNAcentral is "lncRNA (ENSSSCG00035069328.1)". Lineage: Eukaryota; Metazoa; Chordata; Mammalia; Artiodactyla; Suidae. The record is from RNAcentral.
GGCCGGAAAGUUUGCACAGCGAGAGGGACUCUCCUUCCGUGUCUCUCCCGCGCUGCCCCCUUCUGCCCCGGAGGGGCGUUAGAGUCCCCUCGGGUUUUCCUUUCAAAUUCUAAAAUAAAAAAGUAAUAUAUGCCCAGGCCCUGGGGAAAUUGGAAUAGUAAUUCAUUCAAUAAAUGAAAUUAUAUGAGAGGUUUUGGGAAAACCCCAAGCCAACCGCAUGUGCCCUCCGAUCAAGUAGGGCAAGAGAGUGAGAAGGCGACAGAAGAGGUCCCCGGCUCGCCCUGGGCACACGGCGAGGACUCUGGUCAGAGGUAAUUAUGUCACUGCGUUUUCUCGCUGUGACAGCCGAAUAAACACAAUCUCCAAUAAACAUCUCUAAUGAGGGAGGAGGCCCGAGGAUGGCUGGGUUUGAUUUAUGACUGGAGGAGAAGGUCCAUUUCCCACUGAGAAGCGGGCAACCUGCUCACCGCCCAGACCCGGAGAAAGGAAUCCGCGGAGGAGAGGACCCAGGCCCAGGAUAUGAUCCAGGAUUCCAUGUUGCAUCAGAUCUGCUGAUUUUUUAGACUCAAAGCCUUGGAGGGCUGAGCUGAACACACCUCCGCUGGAAAAUUAUCUGGAGCCAGCAUUUAUUGGGUGCUAGGGUUUGCCAUCCUCACCACACUGCGGGGGAUCGGGAUGUCAGCUCUCUCACCUAAGGACCCAUUCGAGCGUGGAGGAGAAUGUGAAGACGAGCCGAGGCUGCCCUAAAAUAAUCAUAAAGAAGGAGAGACGCGCCCCCGGUGUAUUGGCACGUGUUUCACAAGUUGCGCUUAGCAAAUACAAGUCCUUGUGAGCGCUGCCUUUUAUGUGGCAGUAAACCAUCUCUGAUGGUGUCGAGUGCAGAGGCUCACGCCAGCUAACCCAGCCUGCCUCGGAGGGCCCUCCCCAGGGGCUCGCGCCUUCCCACGGCAGAGGGAGGGCACAUCAGAUCGAGGCGGGUGCCCAAGGGAGGUCGUGAUGUGUUUUGUCUGCUCGACCCUGGCAGUGGUGCGCCUAUGUUCCUCUGCUUGAGCCGAUCCUCAAGACAUUUGGCAGAGGAGGAAACUGCGGCCUUGAGGAAAGAACCGCCGGAAGAAGAUCAGUGCUGGGAUAUUUGCUCCUCAUCCUCUGUUCUUCUGACGCCACCUCGUGCCCUCUCUUUGCCUGGUUGUCACUUCUUGGUGCCCUCACUUCUACCCGUGUGACCUAGAUUGAACCUCAAUCCAAGAGCUAUUCAAGCAGCCAAGGAGAGAAGGAUAACGUGGGGCAGAAGCAUGGUCCCACAGAACACAGGGCCGGCGCACCGGGCACAUCCUGCACAGAUUCAAGGAAGCAGAAAGCCACCGGGACUUGCACAUCGAGAGAAGCCUUCAGGGAGAAAAUUGAGGGAGCUCCCAGGUUACUUCCUGUUCAAAAGCCACUGAAGUGGACGCAAAAGGCAAGGAGAGCCCGAGGCCUUGGCAUCUCCGCCGGCCCAACCUGCAAAGGAAUCCAGCACCCACUGCCCGUGAGGUCUUUGAAGGAAGACGGUGUGGGGCCUGGCGGUCUCCGCAGGAGGGGAGCAGGGAGGGAGGGAGGAGGGCUAUGUCUGGACCGGUCUCUCUCCGCCACCCACAGAAGGCUCCUCCUUCAUUUGGAAGCCUCCUAACCUGAGCACAAAUGAGACCCCCUGGGAUCCCAAAAUAGCUCCCCUCACAGCUGCACAGCAUCCAUUUAUAGCACAGCAUCUCUGCAGCCUCAGGCUGCUCCUGGGACGGCCCUUCUGAGCUCAGCAUCUGCGAACACCAGGCUCCAUGUCAUUUAAAAGCAGAAAUACUCAUAAAGGACCUAUUAUGGCCUUGUCACUGUUUUCCAGAACUUGCCUCAACCCUCAGAGACCUCAAAGGGCCAAAUUUGUUUUGACCCAGAGCCAGACCAUGUUUUGUCCAACAAUAACCCAGAGGCCGGUCGGGUCCCUUCCUCUGGGCUCGGCAGCAGUUGAGAAUGUUCUACUUGGUGGCAGCAGGACAAACAGUACCAAACUGAUGCUUGGGCCUUAGACCAAGUCACUCGGACAGCCCCAGGGCAGAACCACCAUUAGGCUCUAUGUCUAUACUGUCCACUUACUAGCAAGGAAAGUAACUGAGGCCUCUUAUUGACAUUAUCCACUCAUGUUAUCGGUGCUAACUCUGAAUGUCAAAUUAUAGAGCAAAGAAACACCCCCGGCCCCAUCGAGGUAGGUUCUGUACUUCCUUCUCAUAUGAACUUUAACCCACUUUUUCACAUGCGACUUAUGUAGAGACAGACUGAAACCGUCCAUUGAUAAUCAAGUGUAUGUUGCUUUUUCACCCCCGACUCUGAGCGGAGUUGAGAGAUCAGAAGUGACCCUGGCUGGCCGCUUGCAGUUUGCUCAGCCUCCUUCUGCUUUCUGUGACAGCCACUGGCACUUGUCUUCCUGAGACAAACAUUUUUUUGUUCAAGCAGAUUCAGGCCGCCUCUGGAAUCGGUCCAGAGCAGUUUUCUGAAGGUGGGGGGAGGGGGCUUCCUUUCCAAAGUUGCUGAGUGGGAGCAAGUCUCUGCUGAUGAGCCUUUCCGGGGGUGGGGGGUGGUGGUGGGGAAGGCCUGGAGGGAGUUCAUAAGAGCCGGGCCACCGACAGGACAUAUCUGCCCUGUUAAGGCGACCGAGGCCCUAGCACAGGGUAGCAACAUUCAUCCAGGGGUAAGAAACCUGUGUGAUCAUGUCCCCUCCCCCCCUCCCCGACCUUUUAAAGAGAGAUCUUUCUAGAGCAGUCUUAGAUUCACAGCAAAAUUGAGCAGAAAGUACAGAGAAUUCCCUUAUCCUCCCUGCCCCCCCACCUCACUAUCAAAUCCCCACCGUGGCACAUUUGUCAUAAUUGAUAAAUUUACAUGGACACAUCAUUAUCAACCAAAGUCCAUAGUUUACCAUAGGGUUCCGUCUUGGUGUUUUAAAAUGUUUUAAGAUGGGAAUAUGUAUUUAUUUGCAUGUAUAUGUGUCAGGAUUGCUCUGAAGAAAGACCCCAGUACAGGCCAACAGCGGACAUCAUGGCUAAUAUUACUGGAGUCAGUCACAAGAGAGAAAUGGAUUUCUUCCCAAGACUUCCUUGGUUACUGCACUGAUGAAGGCACAAGUCGAAAGACUUACAUUUUAGUAAUUUUUUUUUGGUUGCUAUUGACUUCUCUCUUGUUCCCCUCUGGUGUCAUCAAAUUUGAGCCAAUUCUGAGCCAGACGCAUAAAGGGAAUCCCGGCUGUUGGUGAACGCUGAGGAAGAGGCAAAGGCAUAAAUAUAGGGAGUGGGUGCCUGAGUGCUAAGUGAUGGAGAUUGAAGGGGAAAUUACCCCUCUUCUUCUGCUUUACAAAUUCACAAACAUCUAGUCCACCACGAAGUCUAUAACAGCCAUUUGAUAAACACAAAAUUCAAUUAAACUGAUUCAGAAAUGGCUCUAGCCUGGACAUUUAAACCAAUAGCCAAUUGCUGCAGAGAAAAUGCUGGAGCAGAUGGAUGUUUCUCUAGAUCUUAUCUGCCUUGGGUUUUCAGGUGAAUUCAUCCCAGAAAUGAGGGGUUGUGGAACUUGGUACCUGGGAUUUCAUGGAGUCCUUGGGAAGUUCAAGUCACCCCAAAAUGCUUACUUCUUGAGUCAUCUCCUUUUGCCUUCUUACAUCAUCUAAUUUAAAAUGUAUACUUUUGUUAAGGGUAGGGUUCAAGUUUAUUAAUCAUUAAUCAUCUUAUUGUAAUUAUGUCAGUGCAAAUGUAAUAGGUAGAUCAACAUUGACAUAUUAUUUCCAUUAAUAUACAUUACUUGUAGUUUUCUAUUUAGUCACUAACCGUGGCUCAUUCACCUUUUUAGGCUGAAUCAUCAGAUGUGAAGAGCCAUCCAGGGCAUUUCUGAGUUCUGAUUGGUUGCACUAGCUCGAAAUCUGAUUAGUCCAAAAUUUGGCCCCAAAAGUCUCAGCAAAAGUCUUGUCCCGUGUGUGUUUGAAAUUUUACAGAGUGAUUCAUAGCUGUUAUUUGUUCUAAGCAAAUAUCUGACAAGUUUCUGAUCCAUUGAUUUUGCAGAGGAAAUGUUUCCAAGUGCCAUUGCCUUUCCCUAAAAGCCAGCUUAAAGCCCACACAUGUUUAUAUUGCGUGUUAUGUUCAAAGAGCAUUUAGGUAAGUGGAGUGGGAUAUAGAACCACCUACGGUUCUGUCUUAUCUUGCUGGACUGGGAGGAUGUUUCCUGUGACCUCUCAAGGCACGUGAACACACAAUGCGCUAGGCAGCCCUCCGGUUUUCCUCCUGCAACAUCGGCAUUGGACAGCCCGGUGGAACAGAGGUGGUCUGGGAGGCACAAGGCCUGGGUAUUGGUUUUGAUUGUCCUACUGAAGAGUCGUAGCCCCUUAGCAAAGUGCCUUAACCAUUUGAUUCUCACUUCUUUUCUCUAUAAACGGGAAAAGGAAUACCUGUCUACCACAUCUUAGCACGUUGUGGUUGGAGCCAAAUGAGAACUUGGGCAAAUAAGAAGGCUUUGGUAGGGAGUUCCCUUCCUGGCUCAGUGGUUAACGAACCCAACUAGGAUCUACAAGGAUAUGGGUCGAUCCCUGGCCUUGCUCAGCGGGUUAAGGAUACAGCAUUGUCAUGAGCUGUGGUGAAGGUCACAGAUGUGGCUUCGAUCCCAAGCUGCUGAGGCUGUGGCUGUGGCCUAGGCCGGCGGCUGCAGCUCCGAUUCGACCCCUAGCCUGGGAACCUCCAUAUGCCAUGGGUGCAGCCCUAAAAAG